UACGGAGGGUGCAAGCGUUGUCCGGAUUUAUUGGGUUUAAAGGGUGCGUAGGCGGCCCUGUAAGUCAGUGGUGAAAUUACUGCAGCUUAACUGUAGCAUUGCCAUUGAUACUGUAGGGCUUGAGUACAGAUGAGGUAGGCGGAAUUGAUGGUGUAGCGGUGAAAUGCAUAGAUACCAUCAAGAACACCGAUUGCGAAGGCAGCUUACUAAGCUGUAACUGACGCUGAGGCACGAAAGCGUGGGGAUCAACAGG
RNAcentral lists this ribosomal RNA (253 nucleotides) under uncultured bacterium. Its description in RNAcentral is "partial 16S ribosomal RNA". It matches the Rfam family "Bacterial small subunit ribosomal RNA", at positions 524 to 775 of the family's 1533-position model. The record is from RNAcentral.